GACGAACGCUGGCGGCGUGCUUAACACAUGCAAGUCGAACGGAAAGGCCCUGCUUGCAGGGUGCUCGAGUGGCGAACGGGUGAGUAACACGUGGGUGAUCUGCCCCUUACUUUGGGAUAAGCCUGGUAAACUGGGUCUAAUACUGGAUAGGACCAUGCUGUAGGUGGUGUGGUGGAAAGAUUUUUUCGGUAAGGGAUGAGCUCGCGGCCUAUCAGCUUGUUGGUGGGGUAAUGGCCUACCAAGGCGUCGACGGGUAGCCGGCCUGAGAGGGUGGACGGCCACAUUGGGACUGAGAUACGGCCCAGACUCCUACGGGAGGCAGCAGUGGGGAAUAUUGCACAAUGGGCGCAAGCCUGAUGCAGCGACGCCGCGUGGGGGAUGACGGCCUUCGGGUUGUAAACUCCUUUCAGCCAUGACGAAGCCUCUUUUGGGGUGACGGUAGUGGUAGAAGAAGCACCGGCUAACUACGUG
This 471-nucleotide ribosomal RNA is filed under the name uncultured bacterium. Its description in RNAcentral is "partial 16S ribosomal RNA". It matches the Rfam family "Bacterial small subunit ribosomal RNA", at positions 28 to 507 of the family's 1533-position model. The record is from RNAcentral.